Molecule: ribosomal RNA, 255 nt
Filed under: uncultured bacterium
Lineage: Bacteria
Description: partial 16S ribosomal RNA
Rfam family: Bacterial small subunit ribosomal RNA
Source: RNAcentral
GUCCACGCCGUAAACGAUGGAUACUAGCUGUUCGUAGCAAUCUGAGUGGCUAAGCGAAAGUGAUAAGUAUCCCACCUGGGGAGUACGUUCGCAAGAAUGAAACUCAAAGGAAUUGACGGGGGCCCGCACAAGCGGUGGAGCAUGUGGUUUAAUUCGAUGAUACGCGAGGAACCUUACCAAGGCUUAAAUGUAGAUUGACCGGUUUUGAAACAGACUUUUCGCAAGACAAUUUACAAGGUGCUGCAUGGUUGUCGU